AGCCAUGCCAAGUCUUAAGUUUGGGAAGGA
Molecule: non-coding RNA, 30 nt
Filed under: Homo sapiens (human)
Lineage: Eukaryota; Metazoa; Chordata; Mammalia; Primates; Hominidae
Source: RNAcentral